GCUUCAAUGCAGUCGACGGCGCACGGGUGCUUGCACCUGGUGGCGAGUGGCGAACGGGUGAGUAAUAUAUCGGAACGUACCCUAGAGUGGGGGAUAACGCAGCGAAAGUUGCGCUAAUACCGCAUACGAUCUACGGAUGAAAGUGGGGGAUCGCAAGACCUCAUGCUCAUGGAGCGGCCGAUAUCUGAUUAGCUAGUUGGUGGGGUAAAAGCCUACCAAGGCAUCGAUCAGUAGCUGGUCUGAGAGGACGACCAGCCACACUGGAACUGAGACACGGUCCAGACUCCUACGGGAGGCAGCAGUGGGGAAUUUUGGACAAUGGGCGCAAGCCUGAUCCAGCAAUGCCGCGUGAGUGAAGAAGGCCUUCGGGUUGUAAAGCUCUUUUGUCAGGGAAGAAACGGUGAGGGCUAAUAUCCUUUGCUAAUGACGGUACCUGAAGAAUAAGCACCGGCUAACUACGUGCCAGCAGCCGCGGUAAUACGUAGGGUGCAAGCGUUAAUCGGAAUUACUGGGCGUAAAGCGUGCGCAGGCGGUUAUGUAAGUCAGAUGUGAAAUCCCCGGGCUCAACCUGGGAAUGGCAUUUGAGACUGCAUGGCUAGAGUGUGUCAGAGGGGGGUAGAAUUCCACGUGUAGCAGUGAAAUGCGUAGAGAUGUGGAGGAAUACCGAUGGCGAAGGCAGCCCCCUGGGAUAACACUGACGCUCAUGCACGAAAGCGUGGGGAGCAAACAGGAUUAGAUACCCUGGUAGUCCACGCCCUAAACGAUGUCUACUAGUUGUCGGGACUUAAUUGUCUUGGUAACGCAGCUAACGCGUGAAGUAGACCGCCUGGGGAGUACGGUCGCAAGAUUAAAACUCAAAGGAAUUGACGGGGACCCGCACAAGCGGUGGAUGAUGUGGAUUAAUUCGAUGCAACGCGAAAAACCUUACCUACCCUUGACAUGUACGGAACCUCUGAGAGAUUAGAGGGUGCUCGAAAGAGAGCCGUAACACAGGUGCUGCAUGGCUGUCGUCAGCUCGUGUCGUGAGAUGUUGGGUUAAGUCCCGCAACGAGCGCAACCCUUGUCAUUAGUUGCUACGAAAGGGCACUCUAAUGAGACUGCCGGUGACAAACCGGAGGAAGGUGGGGAUGACGUCAAGUCCUCAUGGCCCUUAUGGGUAGGGCUUCACACGUCAUACAAUGGUACAUACAGAGGGCCGCCAACCCGCGAGGGGGAGCUAAUCCCAGAAAGUGUAUCGUAGUCCGGAUUGUAGUCUGCAACUCGACUACAUGAAGUUGGAAUCGCUAGUAAUCGCGGAUCAGCAUGUCGCGGUGAAUACGUUCCCGGGUCUUGUACACACCGCCCGUCACACCAUGGGAGCGGGUUUCACCAGAAGUAGGUAGCCUAACCGCAAGGAGGGCG
Molecule: ribosomal RNA, 1401 nt
Filed under: Herminiimonas glaciei
Lineage: Bacteria; Pseudomonadati; Pseudomonadota; Betaproteobacteria; Burkholderiales; Oxalobacteraceae
Description: bacterial SSU rRNA
Rfam family: Bacterial small subunit ribosomal RNA
Source: RNAcentral